Arachis ipaensis is the source of this 2100-nucleotide non-coding RNA. NCBI's taxonomy places the organism in Eukaryota, Viridiplantae, Streptophyta, Magnoliopsida, Fabales, Fabaceae. The record is from RefSeq and is a predicted model, not a curated record.
CUUGAGUGCUUCAAUUCUUUUUAGAGAGAGAGAGAUGUAUUAAGUGGUAUUCCAACGUCGAAAGCAGAGACACAAAGGUUGUUCUGUUUUUUCUCUUCUCUAACUUUGUCUACAUAUAUAAAACGAAGUACAUGUGAUUCUGCUGCAUCACCAUCACCUCUUCUCUCUCUCUCUCUCUCUCUCUCUCUCUCUCUCUCUCUCAUCAUGUAAGAAACUGGAAAACCUACAACAAGCUCAGCUACCUUGCGCCGCUGCCUCCGAUAAUAUUAUUCCACCAACUUCUUCUCUUCUCUACUUUCCAAAUUCCAAUUAUAUUAAGGAUAAGAUGUUUUCAUGAUGAUCCAGGAAGAGCGAGAAGUUCGUUUAAUGGCUAGAGUUUGUUGGCCAUAUUUUGAUCCUGAGUAUGAGAACUUCAGCAACAGAAUGAAUCCUCCAAGGGUCUCUGUGGACAACACUAGUUGCCAUGAUUGUACUCUUAUCAAGGUUGAUAGUGUUAACAAACCUGGAAUUCUGCUGGAAGUGGUGCAAAUCUUGACAGAUCUUGACUUCAUAAUUACCAAAGCCUACAUAUCUUCUGAUGGAGGAUGGUUUAUGGAUGUGUUUCAUGUGACGGAUCAACAAGGAAAGAAGAUAACAGAUAGCAAAACCAUUGACUUUGUGGAAAAGGCUCUAGGACCAAAGGGCCAGAGCACAGAAGGGGUGAAGAAUUGGCCAAGCAAGCGUGUUGGAGUGCAUUCUGUUGGUGAUCAUACAUCGAUUGAGCUUAUUGGCAGAGACCGGCCAGGUCUCUUGUCCGAGAUCUCUGCUGUCCUUGCUAGCCUCCAUUUCAAUGUGGUUGCAGCUGAGGUUUGGACUCAUAAUAGAAGAAUAGCUUGUGUCCUUUAUGUCAGUGACACUACAACCCAGGCUGUGGAUCAUCCAAAUAGAUUAUGCCUUAUGGAGGAGCAGCUUAACAACAUUUUGCGCGGCUGCGAGGAUGGUGACAAAGUUGCUAGGACUAACUUCUCCAUGGGGUUCACCCAUAUGGAUAGAAGGCUGCACCAAAUGUUGUUCGCUGAUCGCGAUUAUGAAGGGUCUGGAGCAACAACAGAUGCUGAUUAUUCAUCUUCCUCAAGGCCAAAGAUCACAAUCGAACGCUGCGAGGAAAAAGGAUACUCGGUGGUUAGUGUCCGGUGCAAAGAUCGGGCCAAACUCAUGUUUGACAUUGUUUGCACUCUUACUGAUAUGCAAUAUGUUGUUUUCCAUGCCACAAUCUCUUCAGAUGCUCCUUAUGCAUCCCAGGAGUAUUUUAUUCGGCAUAUGGAUGGAUGCACACUUGAUACUGAAGGAGAAAAAGAAAGAGUCAUCAAAUGCAUUGAAGCUGCUAUUCAGAGAAGAGUGAGUGAGCUAUCUACUUGUGAUGCUGCAAAUUGUACGACAGAUACAUGGGGUUAGGUUCCACUCAGAUUGUAUCUGACCAUCAUAUCCACUAGUGAAAGUGAUGAUGGUCUUUUGCCUUCAAUAGAGCUUAAGAAUCUAUGUUCUCCAUGGUGUGAGCCUUGAACUUUGUGCAAAGGAUAGAGUGGGAUUGCUGUCUGAAGUAACAAGGAUUCUAAGAGAGAAUGGAUUAACAGUUUGUAGGGCAGGUAUAUCAACAAGAGGGGAGCAAGCACUGAAUGUGUUCUAUGUGAGGGACGCAUCUGGCAACCCGGUGGAUAUGAAGACGAUGGAAGCGCUUCGCAAAGAGAUAGGGAAGACAAUGGUGGUGGAAGUGAAAAGAGUACCUGGAAAUUCCUCCAGAGCACCAGCUGAAACCAGAGGAUGGGGUAAAACAAGCUUCUUCUUUGGAAACUUGUUUGAAAAGUUCUUGGCUUGAAGAAGAAGAAAAUCAUAUAUAUGCAUCAGGCUUGGUUUGUUAGUGAAAGACACAUCAUAAUGUAUAGAAGAAUAAAGUUAUUUGUGUGUCAAACAUGCCAAGUACUUGUACUUUGGGGCCUUUGGUAUCAUGACAAUGACAAAGACAUUGUAUCUUCUGUAGUUCUGUCUAUAACUAAACUAACUAGUUGUAAUUUUAUGUUGCCCUUUUAAUGAAUUCGGAGUCCUUGUUAGUUUCUCUUUGUA